This is a long non-coding RNA of Zonotrichia leucophrys gambelii, 1634 nucleotides long. RefSeq lists it as uncharacterized. Lineage: Eukaryota; Metazoa; Chordata; Aves; Passeriformes; Passerellidae. The transcript has 2 exons. The record is from RefSeq and is a predicted model, not a curated record.
CCCCCUCGGCUCGGGGCCCUCCGCCCUGCCGCAGCCCUGCCAGCCCCGAGCUUUCCCUUGGCGCCGGCUCCGGCGGACGUUUUCGCUCCCGCACCACGCAAAACCGGGACGGAGUCGGGACACCGAGACACCGGAGAGCUCGGGAUGGAACCGGCGCGAGGGGGCGGCCAGCACGGUCCGAGAUGGUGGCCGGCUAUAGGAACGACAGAGCCGAGCUACUGCCUGUGAAAGUGCUUCUUGUAAAUGGUCUGAGCAGUUGUUGAAGGUUUUCAACAGAGGAAACCUCUUCAGAUGGAAAAAAAAAAAAAAGAAAGAAAGAAAAAAAAAAAGAGAAGAAAAAGCACAACGGAAAUCUAAACUCAGAUCUCAGGCUAUACAAAUUGGCCCAAAAGAAAAUGGGGGAAAUCUCCUUAGGAGGAACAUUUUUAGUUCACUAAAGAAUAAACUUUGCUCAUAAAUGAUGAAAGUUAUUAUCAUCAGAGGAUGUCCUGUACCAAACAAACCUCCAUUAGGCUGGGAAGGAUAAAACAGGCUAGACAGCCUUUAAAAAAAAAAAUCAUCAUGUCUUUGAUUCCCAAGAUAUCAACCAUGUCUGUUUCUUUAGUGCUGUCAAGUAAAUCUGAGUUAUGGAUGCUCUAAAAGAAGCCAGCAAGGAGAAAAUUCAGCAAGUGAAAAUUAAGAGUUAUCCAUACUUCACAAAAAUACACUUUCUUUUCAAGUUCUUAAGCUUCUGCCCUGUAGAAUGGUAUGACAAUUUCUUAGAAGAGCAAGACCAGUGAAUGUGGUAAAGCUGUGAUCAUCAGAGCAUACAAUUUCAUGGCAGAUUCUUUUUACCGUGCUUUUUGCUCUUUCUGCAAAGCAGUGUCCAUCAUUUUCACCACAAGAGCCUUAACGUCUGGAAUGUAACCUCCUAAAACUGCCAGUGCCUCAAGGUGGGUGUCACAGCCUGGGCUCCACUGCUGAAACCAUUUUCUAGCCUGUUUAUGUAUCAUGUCUAACCUGAUCAAACAGACAGAGGACAGUUGCUUGAUUUAGUACAGCAUCCACAUAUUGCUCUUUAAUGUAGGUGAUCUGGGAAGUUGUGUAAAAAGCAAAUCCCUGUGUCUGGGCGAGAAGGACUGGCUGGUUAGGGAGCUCAGGCACAGCAGGAGGAAAGCAAGCCCACUGAGAGAGCUUCCUCCCUCCUUACAUGCCAAAGGCAAGGCAUCCAUCAAAGCCAUCAGCCUGGUCAGGAAAAGCACAGUUGGCUAUGUUGUCUUUGCAUUUUUGCCAGUGUGAAAGGAGCACAAACUGGUAUUUCCAAAUCUAGCCAUAGGAAAAUAGAGCACAUUUCUUUGAGAGUCAUUCUGUACUCACUACAUGUGUAAUGAAGAAACCUGUGACAAAAAAAAGGUGGGGGGGACAGGGGCAAAAAGCACUGGUUCCAUAAAGGUUGUGAGGCUGUGAGUGUGGGCUCUCCCUGGGUGGAACACCACAGAAUGAAAAUGGGAGGAUGAAACAGAGUUUUAGGUAGCUACCAAUCAAAAAUAAUUGUUUUUAGGGUUUUUUUCAGUUUUAUAAUUUAAUUUCCAGUUCUGCGAAAAGUUAGAUACCAUGUACUCUGUUGGAAUAAACAUCAUUUAUUGUUUCCCUUA